Molecule: transfer RNA, 76 nt
Filed under: Chitinivorax tropicus
Lineage: Bacteria; Pseudomonadati; Pseudomonadota; Betaproteobacteria
Description: tRNA-Thr
Rfam family: tRNA
About the family: Transfer RNA (tRNA) molecules are approximately 80 nucleotides in length.
Source: RNAcentral
GCCGUCUUAGCUCAGUUGGUAGAGCACCUGACUUGUAAUCAGGGGGUCAUCAGUUCGAAUCCGAUAGGCGGCACCA